GUGCUGAACCAGAAGUUGUUAACAACAGUGUGAUUGACAUUAACAGAGUUAAAUAUUUUAGCUGGCCUUGGAAUAAUUGGAAUGGAUCCGUUCAGAUUAUAAACGUGUCCGUCGUCUUUGGAGUACAGGUUGUGAUAGCGAUAGUGAGAGAGGCAGAUUGGAGUAUAGGUCUCGCUUUUUAUUAUUUAUUUACUUUUUAAUGAAUAUUUAUUUAAUUAAUCUAUGUAUUGAAACUCUGAAUUUCUUGCAGGAAGUGGAUAAAGAACAUUUAACACAGCAGGUCUUUCUUUACCUUUUUAAUCAACAAAGUAAUUGGCUGUUUCACGUCUUGUAGUACUAGUUUUUAUAUACCAUUGAAUGUUAGUUAAGCCAGGCAUUCAGGAAAUAUAAAACAUAAACAAAAGACUUUAGAUAUUGUCAAAUGAGAUGCACAGACACAUUAAGCAGGUAUAAUUCUAGUGUAUAUACAGACAGGAGUUUGCUGGAUCUAUAUUUGAUGAAUUUAAAGUUUUAUGCGCUGAAAUCUAAUGUGGUUUUCUGAUGUCUUACAGGUUCCAAUUAUCAGCAGGACAGCUAAAUUAAAUACAAUUCAAGAUUCUCCAUCCAAAGGCUCUGUAGUUGUGUGUAUGUGGCAGUGUAAACUGUGCUUAGUGGCAGUUGCAGGAAGAUUGGCAUUAUUGAACCACUACAAAUUGAAGCAUCCACACCUUGGGCGUACCAGCCGUUAUCCAUGUACGUUUUUAGAGUGCCCUUGCACAUUUAAAACAUGGAAUGCAUUACAUAUUCAUCACUCUCGGGAUCAUUCCACAAAUUAUAAAGCAGUAAAGGCACUAUCUGUAUUUAAGUGUCACAUUUGCUCGUGUAAGAAUUUGGGGAAUGAAAGAGAGUACUUUGCUCACAUAAAUGCUCAUUUAAAGAAGAAUGAAAAAGUGACUUGCAUGUUUGAUGGUUGUGAUUUUCAUACAAGUGUUUAUGGAACCUUUAGGUCACACAAAAGUCGUAGACACGCAUCUCAUUCUUUGACUGAUUUUAAACCCGGUAUUGUGACAACAAAUGCACCUCUGCCUUUUGAACUUUUACCCACUGAUGGCCAGGAAGAUGAGUGUGUGGAGAGCGACACUGUAGAGUCAGCUAAUCCCGAGGUCCUCUCAAGUGCAAUUGAGAAGCAACUUGCAGCAGCCUUACUCAAGUUGGAGUAUCUUGUUCAUGUGCCAGGUACGGCUGUAGAUGAUUUUUUAUAUGAGCUUAAUUAUUUAAGUUCAGCAUCUGUGCCACUUUCAAAAGCUAUAGUUGCUGAUAUCUUAAAGCGACUUAACUUUCAGGUUGAGGACUCGGUAGUUGCUAAUAUCAUUUCUGCAGUGUAUACAACCAAUCCAAUAUCAAAGGCUAUUGAAAAGGGAGGGCCACUUUCCAGUUCAUAUCAGCGUAAAAAAUACUACAGGGAUUGCUUCAGUGUUGUGGAACCUGUGACUUUUAUCCUUGAUGGUAAAAAGCGCAGAACCUUUCAAUAUGUCCCAAUUUUAAAGUCACUGCAGCAGGUCUUAAGUAGAAAAGGUAUUCUUGACAAACUCAUAGAAAAUCAUAAAGGAACAACAAGCCUUGAAAGAGACCCAUCUUAUGAAUACAGGUCAUUUAAAGACGGUAAUCAUUUUCAACAAAACAAGUUUUUGAAUAAUGAUGAGUUAAGAAUAUCAGUAUGUCUGUAUGUUGAUGAUUUUGAAACUUGUAAUCCCCUAGGCACCUCUAGAAAAAAGCACAAGCUUUGUGCUGUUUAUUGGUUGCUCUCGAACCUACCUCCAGGCUGUCAUUCCUCUUUAUCCUCCAUUUAUCUUGCUGUGCUUUGUAAGAGUGAUGAUGUCAAAAACUACAGUUUUGAUAAUGUUUUGGAACCUCUCUUAACAGACCUAAAAACCUUGGAGGACCAUGGUGUGUAUGUUCCGCUGUUAGGUACGUCUUUAAAAGAUUGAAACCUGUGGUCAUGGCGGCUCUUUUGAAAGUCAUCCUUGGAGACAACAACAGUCAACGCUUGACUUUCCCAGAUGGACUUCCAACAUCUGUCAGUGAACUUGUUGAUAUUGUGCAGAGACAGUGUGCUAUUCAGACAAACUUCAGGCUUCAGUUCAUGGAUCCCCUAUUUAACAAUGAGUUCAUGAACCUCACUUCAAUGGAUGAAGUGACAGAUCGUGGAACAAUCAGAGUAAUCUAUAUGACAGGCAUCUUAACCCCGCAGCGCGUAGAGGUCCAGAUUUCUUCAGGAAGUGCUUGUAACUAUAGUUUUCUGGAAGAAAGCUCAUCAGUGUCUAGUGGUGGUGUAGAUACUGACAUUCUGUCUUCACCGGAAUCAGACGCAUCCACCUCUUCAACCUCCAGGACAUUUUGGCCUAGCACUUUCAGUGUUCCACAGUUUGGCUUUGAUGCAGAGUUAAAACUUGAAAGAGGCAAUGCAGCAUUCAAAGAGAAUGGCGUAGUGCUUAUCCCAGAUCUUAAACUCAAGUCAAACAUUUUAGAGGGUCUGAUUCAAGAAAUUGUCAAAUACAAAGUUUAUGUCACAGACAGAGAGUUUGACAUGGUUGGUGAGGCACUCCUCUCCAAACACCCUUGUCUAACAGAGAGGGGCUCAGUGACAGGAUAUGCUGGUUGGAAGGCAAGCUUAAAGAAUAAACUUGCGAUUUACCGUACCCAUUUGAGAAAACUGGGAUGUCCUGAGGUUUUGGUGAACUCUGUUAAGCACAAGCCUGAGGGUAAAUCAAGUGCUGCCUCUGCCAUCAAAAGACCAAGACGUUCUGAAGUGAACUACUGCCCCCCUUAUCCCACUGGAGAAUCAGAUCAGAGUCUGGAGGGUCUGAGAGUGGAACUCCUAUCAGAUGUGAAGAAGCGGAACAACAGGGAGGCAGUGAGAAGGAAAAUGGACCAGACCUUCGCACACAGGAGGUAUGAAGUGGUUCGAGACAAACCAAUGGUUGAAGAUUUCAAGAACAGAUGGCCAGCCCUCUUCGAUGUAACUGAGAUAAAUUUAGAGUUCAAACGCAUCACCACCAUACCGCUACAGUCAAGGUUUUUAUCUCGGAUAGACGUGCUGUCCGGCAAACUCCUCAGACUGUUUGAGCGAAGAGGUGGACAGAUGGGGAGAGUGCUCAAAGAUAUUGUGGCACCCAUGGCUCAGGAUGACGAUGUUGACCUCGGUCGAGGUUGUAUCAUCAAAGGACUGUGUGUGUACCUCAAUGAGGAACCAGGAAACUUAGUCAAAGAAUAUGUGACGAAACCAAUGAAAGAUCCAUCGAGGAGACCACUGUUGGCAUUUACGUCCUGAAAGCAGACUGCAACUCAAACCCAGAUGACAUCGGCAUAGUGAUUGAAGGACAGGUGGUCUUGCAGGAACUGGACAACUUUCCGUUAGCUGUUGCCAUGUUGUUUGGCUUGAUUUACACACUGAACCUCGACUACCCUCGUGACCUCAAAUAUACAUUUGAGGUGCUCCAAAAAAUCAUCAUGGAGCUGGAGGGCACCACUCUUUCCAAAAAAGCGCAAGUGCUCAAGAACAGACUCUGUGAAUGAGUAUUUUAUCUGUCAAUGCAGAUUUUCUAAGUGUUUACAGAGAAAAGGUUAGGUGUUCCUCAGUUUUUGAAAUUUUACAGUUACUAUAUAUUUUUGAUAUGAAAAUAGUAUAUUUUUUCAUUCUUGCAGCUAAAGAGUCUUUUUUUUUUUUUUUACUACUGGAGCUUGUUCGUAAUGUUUUGUGUAAAGCCGAAGGACACCAUGCUCUGCAAGAUGGCUCAAGAAUUUAAGAACCGUACUGUUGAUGAUUUCAAAGUGUUCAGAAGAAACUUUAUACACUGGUUUUCCUCAGUGUUGGAUAUGCUUUAAAUAUGUCGUGCUGUGAUAUGUGUUUGCACAGUACUGUAUAUUUUUGAUGUUCAGUGCCUAAAAAUGUGUCUGCACAGUACUCCAUUUUUUGAUGUGCAAUUUUUAGUGCUUCAAGACUUGUUUGCACGGUAUUGCAUAUUUGUGAUUCACAUUUUUAUUGUUUAUUUUUAUGUAAAGACCUGUUUUCAAAGUAUUGCAAUUUUUGGAUGUGCAGUUUUUUUGAAGGUUCAUGAAAAAUGUUCUAAACUACAGCUGCUUUGUAAUGCUUUAGUGUUGAACAUCAGCAUGUCAAAGCAUUUUUGACAGUUUUGAAUUCUGUAAUUCAUCUUUGAAUUAAAAGUGGCUCAAGAUA
Molecule: RNA transcript, 4216 nt
Organism: Acanthochromis polyacanthus (spiny chromis)
Lineage: Eukaryota; Metazoa; Chordata; Actinopteri; Pomacentridae
Exons: 6
Source: RefSeq, a predicted model, not a curated record